CACAAGGAUCAACAAUUCAUAUUGGCACCAUAUCAUCAAAAUAAUCAUUGGAUACUCAUCGUGAUUAGCACACCUUCAAAAACGGUGUAUGUGUUUGAUCCUUUGAAAAGUGUGCACCGCGACCUUGAAGUCAAAAUUUAUGUGAAUAUGGCAUUUCGAUCUAUUCCUACA
Long non-coding RNA from Ipomoea nil (Japanese morning glory), 171 nucleotides. RefSeq lists it as uncharacterized. The transcript has 3 exons. Lineage: Eukaryota; Viridiplantae; Streptophyta; Magnoliopsida; Solanales; Convolvulaceae. The record is from RefSeq and is a predicted model, not a curated record.